This is a long non-coding RNA of Dreissena polymorpha, 448 nucleotides long. RefSeq lists it as uncharacterized. Lineage: Eukaryota; Metazoa; Mollusca; Bivalvia; Myida; Dreissenidae. The transcript has 2 exons. The record is from RefSeq and is a predicted model, not a curated record.
CGAUAUAAAUAUGAUAUUCAUUUUAAAGAACAUAUUCGUCUGUUAAUCACGAUAUACAAAUAUCAUCAGCCGCCAGUUUUUGCAAAUGUUAAAUAGUAGCACGAUACAUGUGAUUACUUUGUACUUCGAACUUUGUAACGUUAUCUCAGUGGGGACAUGUAUGACCCGUACAUGUAUUCGGUUAAAUGUGUUAAUUUAAUGAUAAACUUUCGCUAAUUUAUUUCCAAAGUAUACGGUCAAAAACAUAUAAUGUUCAACAAUAUGUUAUCUGUAGUUAUUGUGUUUGUGGUGUUUUCGGGAGUGCAAGGAAUUACGCAUGAGGAUUGUCCAGGUAAUGGACACUCUGACCACGGCUCCUGGGUUGUCAAUAACAGAAAAGAAGAACCAAGAUGUGUGCUAAAAUGCAAAGUAGGAUACGAGCCGGAUAAAUGUCAUGUGUUGCGGAAAA